UCCCUGGUGGCUCAGAUGGUAAAGCAUCUGCCUGCAAUGCAGGAAACCCAGGUUCCAUCCCUGGGUUGGGAA
RNAcentral lists this transfer RNA (72 nucleotides) under Bos taurus (domestic cattle). It matches the Rfam family "tRNA". Rfam says of the family: Transfer RNA (tRNA) molecules are approximately 80 nucleotides in length. RNAcentral also lists the same sequence under 3 other names. Lineage: Eukaryota; Metazoa; Chordata; Mammalia; Artiodactyla; Bovidae. The record is from Rfam by way of RNAcentral.